RNAcentral lists this ribosomal RNA (426 nucleotides) under uncultured bacterium. Its description in RNAcentral is "bacterial SSU rRNA". It matches the Rfam family "Bacterial small subunit ribosomal RNA", at positions 52 to 477 of the family's 1533-position model. The record is from RNAcentral.
CACAUGCAAGUCGAACGGCAGCAUGGAGAGCUUGCUCUCUGAUGGCGAGUGGCGAACGGGUGAGUAAUAUAUCGGAACGUGCCUAGUAAUGGGGAAUAACUAGCUGAAAGGUUAGCUAAUGCCGCAUACGACCUACGGGUGAAAGCAGGGGAUCUUCGGACCUUGCGUUAUUAGAGCGGCCGAUAUCUGAUUAGCUUGUUGGUGGGGUAAUGGCCUACCAAGGCGACGAUCAGUAGCUGGUCUGAGAGGACGAUCAGCCACACUGGAACUGAGACACGGUCCAGACUCCUACGGGAGGCAGCAGUGGGGAAUUUUGGACAAUGGGGGAAACCCUGAUCCAGCCAUUCCGCGUGAGUGAAGAAGGCCUUCGGGUUGUAAAGCUCUUUCGCAAGAGAAGAAAACUUGCUAUCUAAUAAAUAGUAAGCA